Molecule: non-coding RNA, 100 nt
Organism: Phaseolus vulgaris (common bean)
Lineage: Eukaryota; Viridiplantae; Streptophyta; Magnoliopsida; Fabales; Fabaceae
Source: Rfam
GGUUUAACGGGAUAUUGGUCCGGUUCAAUGAGAAAGCAAUGCUCAAAAUGUCUCAGGCACUGCUUUUCGAUUGAGCCGUGCCAAUAUCACGUGCCACUGC